Heterocephalus glaber (naked mole-rat) is the source of this 3617-nucleotide long non-coding RNA. Lineage: Eukaryota; Metazoa; Chordata; Mammalia; Rodentia; Bathyergidae. The record is from Ensembl.
CAGCUCUGCUCUUUGUCUGAGCAGAAGAGAUAAGAACCAAGCGGCUAGCUGACCUCACCGGCUUCCUGCGGGGUGGGCGUGCACGCUCACUUCCACCCCCCCUGCCGGAGCAAGCAGGGGUCCAGCUGGUGGUGGGCUCCCCUCCUCCGGAGAUGCCCACGUGGUGUCUGUCCCCAGGGAGCACAGGGCCACUCUAGGCUCCCCCGCAGCACUGCGACAGGAGGCUGUUACUGUGGCUGACCACUGCUUUCACAUAGUCGCGAGGUCCUGGCUGACCUGUUACUCUCCAAAACCAGCACUGUUCUCAGAAAGUAGAGACAGCUCCAAUGUAGAGUGGCCACUGGCUACCUACCUCUUUGGCUCCCUUGAAAAUCACGGAAAUCAAAUCAAACAGAAAAGAGUGUCCAUUCACCAGAAGGACUUGGGUAAAUGAUGCACCAUUGUUUGCUUUUUAUACAGAAAUAAUACGGAAAGAGGUCACUGGAUGAAUCUGUAAAUUGAAACAAGGACACGCUUCCUUUCAAUUUGUUAAAGCCCCUGCAUAUCUGAUAGUUCAAACUGAAGUAAUACAGAUCAUUAAUGAUGGAUUUUCCUCCUAUCUAAAUAGAAAAGGUAUUAUAUGUUAUAUCAAUGCUCAAGUUAAAUCUUUCCCUUAUAAGGUGCUUGACAUAAAUAGCUUUUAUUAUGGAACUCUUAAGUAGAGGGGACACACACAUUUCUUAAAGGUCCCAGCUGCUAUUGUUAUCCUUGGAGACAUAAAAUUGGAGUCCCCAACUUCCAAUAUCAAAUUUUAGCCCAAACCCUAUAAAACGUGUCUUGUCAGGAUGUGCCGGAAGGGAUAAGCUCCCCUCCACACAACAUGCCGCAGCUGGUGCUCUGUCCUGACCGGCAGGGUGUCCACACGCGGCGUAGGCAGAGUCCUUCCCGCUUCCCCUCUUCCUGCGGAGCUGGAGGGAAGGAGCGGCCGGCCGUGGCCUAGGCCACUGGACAGGGAACACGGCCUGCGGGCCGAGUCCAAGGCCUGCAGAUAGGACCCUCCGUCAGGAAUGCAAAGAAUGUUUUCCCUCGGACGAUGGAGGCGCACAGGCCAGGGGGAUUCUGUCUGCGUGACAGCCGUGACAUUUGCCAGAGCCCCGGACGGCUGUGGAAAUGGCAUUGCCCACCCUGAAAGUGAGAAGUGACAGAAGCAGCUGGAGAGAAGAUACCAGUAUAAAACCCGCCCAGACUCGUUUCUGUGGAGCCGGGAUGGGAACCGCGGCAUAGAGCCCUAUACACUCUUUCUGCACACAUUAACCUGUGCCAGCCCCCCGCCCCCGGCUGGGGUUUCAGGGACCCCAGUGAGGAGAGUCCAGUGACCCAGACAGUCACAGUAUCACCUGUGCUGAGCCUCGAGCGAAAACGAUGCAGGUGAAUCUCCGGGGAUAGCUGCGUGCGAGGCGGGUGCUGGGGACACAGCCCCAGGGCUGCUCCCUCGAACGGAACCGCCUGUGCACCUGAGAAGCCCGACUGUCACUCGAAAUGCGGCUGCUGCCUCCAGGGGACCCUGGAAGUCCCAGGAGCCUGGGGAGCCUCCGGGGAUGCACUGGGCAUCCAGGGCUCUGAGGCGAGGGGCCGAGAGAGGAAAUCAGCCUGAUGAGCUGAGCUGCAAUUGCAGUAAUAGCGCAUUUCCCCCUAGGCUGGCGCUGGGGAGCCCGGCUAGCACGGCUCAGUGCAGUCUCAGAUUCUCAGGAGAGGAACCUGCUUGGGGCCAGCGUGGCGUUUUUAAAAUGUCUUUUUGAUCCCCAAAGAGCUAAUGGAUAGAAAAAUGCCGAGACCCGCACAUUUACUGCAACAGCCGCUUCAGCUCCGAGCCGAGAGCUUCCCCGACAGACACCUGGGUGCUGUAAAUCACCCGCCAUAAACACUGAGGCCGGCCGGGCCUCGAGAGCUGCAGCGGGGCAUCCCACCAUCCGCUCCAUAAAGCAGAGCUGGCCCUGCCUCGUAAAUGUUCCUUUCUCCCCAAAAGACCCCUCCUGGGCAGGGCAGAGCCCCGACAGGGACUGACCAGAUAAGGCAGCAAGCUCUCCCACCUCGGCCCUCACAGCCCUGGCUGGCACCGGGGUGAGGUGUUAGGGGUUUAUGAUGUUCCCAAUGGCUUUACGAUCCUGAGAGGGGCCUGGCCGGGACUUCAACUCUGCUGUUUGUGAAGGUGGUGUGGGAAGAUAAAAUUCAAGUUUUGCAUUUUAAAAUUGUUAGUAAAAGCAUAAUCAGUAAUAUGCAACCAAAAGCAGUGUAGGGAAGGUCCCCAAAGUCAGUAGAAAUGAAGGUAGCAUUCCCACUUUUAAAACGUGCUGAAUAAAAUAUCCCAGUCCACCUUCCUGUCGCUGUUCCCCGUGAGAGCACUGGCGGUGACGGAUGGCCUUCCGAUUGCUCUACACGGGACCGGGACGCAGAGCGCAGACUGCGAAUGCGUUCAACAGAGGUCGCCUCCGGGCCGUUCCUUUGCAUCCCAGGCUCCACUUAAAAAGCAAAACCUUACAAUUAUCGGGCUAGGAGGGGUCUUUCAAGUGUCUCCCGACUGCAGGCAGACAGACGAGACGAUGGGCCUUGUAAACACCGGAGCUUUGCGGGCCCUUCUGCCGUCCAGCUUGGUGUGGACCAGAGCCGCAUGGAGCCCAGUCAGCCCCCGCCUCUGGCACUGGCCGGCACGGGGAAAGUAACCCAGAAAAAACAUUCUUCAGCCCGAAAUGAAGCAGGAUCGAAUGGACGCUGGUGAGAGCAAAUACUUACAUUGGAGAAGUCAAACCGAGCAUUAUUAAAUAAAGCUUGUUUAAUAUGUCUCAAACAGCAAGUGCUUUUUGAAGAGCACUCUGAACCUGAUAUUAGAAACGUGGCCGAGGGCACGUCUGGGGCCCCUUGGUGGUACUCGAGUUCGGCCCAGCAGUAAAAGUGUGAUUUUCUCCUUUCACGAGGUAUUUUCCCCUCGUGUUUGAAAUGAAAGCAGAAAGGGUCUUCAGGUAGCUUGUAAACGGUUAAUGUGAUGUAAUAAAUACCGACCACUGACCAGGAUCUAAUGUCUAUCCCUAAGACCCAGGGCACCAGGCGGGUGAGGGGACAGGGGAGCGCUGGAGGCCAGAAGCGGCGGGGGCCGAAUGCCCUCCGCAGUGCCGCAGGACGCCCCGGUUGGGGCUCUGGCCAAGCCCAAGCCACUCCCUCGCGGCUCUACAGCAUUUAUACUUCGAGUUUUAUUUAAAGGACGUUAGAUGUCUAUGUUCAGAAGAAAAAAUAUCCUUUGGAUACAAAAUCCCGCCCCUGCUCGCACUUUUAGGGUCCGGGCCGGGGGCACAGGCCCCAUGGAGGCGAAGGCACACGGGCACAGUUUGACUUCUGGGCCAGCCUCACUUUGUCCCCUGUGGAACGAAGGGGCCGGCCCUGUGCUGGGGGUGGCGUGUCUCAAACGCCGUUGCAAACCCUUUGUACACCUCAGGGUCCUCUGGAGGCAGGAACCCAGGGAAACUGCUCUCUCUGCAGGCCUUCCGGCCAGAGCCUGCCCAGGCUGCAGUGAGGCCUAACGACAAUGUCUUUCUUCCUUCGUCCUUAACAGUGUCCUUAGAAUACUUCCAAAUACAAGUUGAAGC